UACGGGGGGGGGCAAGCGUUGUUCGGAAUUACUGGGCGUAAAGGGCUCGUAGGCGGCCAACUAAGUCGGACGUGAAAUCCCUCGGCUCAACCGGGGAACUGCGUCCGAUACUGGAUGGCUUGAGUUCGGGAGAGGGAUGCGGAAUUCCAGGUGUAGCGGUGAAAUGCGUAGAUAUCUGGAGGAACACCGGUGGCGAAGGCGGCAUCCUGGACCGACACUGACGCUGAGGAGCGAAAGCCAGGGGAGCAAACGGG
This 254-nucleotide ribosomal RNA is filed under the name uncultured bacterium. RNAcentral's name for it is "partial 16S ribosomal RNA". It matches the Rfam family "Bacterial small subunit ribosomal RNA", at positions 524 to 776 of the family's 1533-position model. The record is from RNAcentral.